Amblyraja radiata (thorny skate) is the source of this 98-nucleotide long non-coding RNA. RefSeq lists it as uncharacterized. Lineage: Eukaryota; Metazoa; Chordata; Chondrichthyes; Rajiformes; Rajidae. The transcript is spliced from 3 exons. The record is from RefSeq and is a predicted model, not a curated record.
UUGGGAGUCAGAUCCCUGCUGAUUGUAUUGUGGCAGUUUGUUUUGUAUUGUAUCCUGGGUAAGGGGGGAGAAUGACGGCCAGGGCGUGCAAACACAAA